Molecule: transfer RNA, 73 nt
Filed under: Pteropus alecto (black flying fox)
Lineage: Eukaryota; Metazoa; Chordata; Mammalia; Chiroptera; Pteropodidae
Rfam family: tRNA
About the family: Transfer RNA (tRNA) molecules are approximately 80 nucleotides in length. Their secondary structure includes four short double-helical elements and three loops (D, anti-codon, and T loops).
Source: Rfam by way of RNAcentral
GGUUCCAUACAGCAGUAGUUAGCACAUCUGCUUUACAUGCAGAAGGUCCUGGGUUCGAGCCCCAGCGGAGCCA